GAUGAACGCUAGCUACAGGCUUAACACAUGCAAGUCGAGGGGAAACGACAUCGAAAGCUUGCUUUUGAUGGGCGUCGACCGGCGCACGGGUGAGUAACGCGUAUCCAACCUGCCCAUCACUUGGGAAUAACCUUGCGAAAGUAAGACUAAUACCCAAUGAUAUCCCACGAAGGCAUCGGAAUGGGAUUAAAGAUUUAUCGGUGAUGGAUGGGGAUGCGUCUGAUUAGCUUGUUGGCGGGGUAACGGCCCACCAAGGCAACGAUCAGUAGGGGUUCUGAGAGGAAGGUCCCCCACAUUGGAACUGAGACACGGUCCAAACUCCUACGGGAGGCAGCAGUGAGGAAUAUUGGUCAAUGGGCGAGAGCCUGAACCAGCCAAGUAGCGUGCAGGAAGACGGCCCUAUGGGUUGUAAACUGCUUUUAUAAGGGAAUAAAGUGGGUCACGUGUGACUUUUUGCAUGUACCUUAUGAAUAAGGACCGGCUAAUUCUGUG
RNAcentral lists this ribosomal RNA (492 nucleotides) under uncultured bacterium. RNAcentral describes it as "partial 16S ribosomal RNA". It matches the Rfam family "Bacterial small subunit ribosomal RNA", at positions 28 to 507 of the family's 1533-position model. The record is from RNAcentral.